GGCGAACGGGUGAGUAACACGUAGGUAACCUGCCCUUAAGACGAGGAUAACAGUUGGAAACGACUGAUAAUACUGGAUAGGACAUUAUAAAUCGCAUGAUAAAAUGUUUAAAGGAGCGAUCCACUUAAGGAGGGGCCUGCGGCGCAUUAGCUAGUUGGUGAGGUAAAGGCUCACCAAGGCGAUGAUGCGUAGCCGGACUGAGAGGUUGAACGGCCACAAUGGAACUGAGAACGGUCCAUACUCCUAUGGGAGGCAGCAGUGGGGAAUAUUGGGCAAUGGGCGAAAGCCUGACCCAGCAACGCCGCGUGAGGGAAGAAGGGUUUCGGCUCGUAAACCUCUGUCCUAUGGGACGAAGAAGUGACGGUACCAUAGGAGGAAGCCCCGGCUAACUACGUGCCAGCAGCCGCGGUAAUACGUAGGGGGCGAGCGUUGUCCGGAAUGAUUGGGCGUAAAGGGCGCGUAGGCGGCCUGUUAAGUCUGGAGUGAAAGUCCCGCUUUCAAGGUGGGAAUUGCUUUGGAUACUGAUGGGCUCGAGUGCAGGAGAGGAAAGCGGAAUUACCGGUGUAGCGGUGAAAUGCGUAGAGAUCGGUAGGAACACCAGUGGCGAAGGCGGCUUUCUGGACUGAAACUGACGCUGAGGCGCGAAAGCGUGGGGAGCAAACAGGAUUAGAUACCCUGGUAGUCCACGCGGUAAACGAUGAAUGCUAGGUGUAGGAGGUAUCGACCCCUUCUGUGCCGCAGUCAACACAAUAAGCAUUCCGCCUGGGGAGUACGGCCGCAAGGUUGAAACUCAAAGGAAUUGACGGGGGCCCGCACAAGCGGAGGAACAUGUGGUUUAAUUCGAUGAUACGCGAGGAACCUUACCCGGGCUUGAACUGCAGGCGAACGAUACAGAGAUGUUGAGGCCCUUCGGGGCGCCUGUGGAGGUGCCGCAUGGUUGUCGUCAGCUCGUGCCGUGAGGUGUCGGCUUAAGUGCCAUAACGAGCGCAACCCUUGUUCGUAGUUGCCAUCGGGUAAUGCCGGGCACUCUGCGAAGACUGCCUCCGUAAGGAGUGAGGAAGGUGGGGAUGACGUCAAAUCAGCACGGCCCUUACGUCCGGGGCUACACACGUGUUACAAUGGCAUGUACAGAAAGCAGGGUGUAUGCAAAUACGCUCGAAUCCCUAAAACAUGUCUCAGUUCGGACUGGGGUCUGCAACCCGACCCCACGAAGCUGGAUUCGCUAGUAAUCGCGCAUCAGCCAUGGCGCGGUGAAUACGUUCCCGGGCCUUGUACUCACCGCCCGUCA
This 1288-nucleotide ribosomal RNA is filed under the name uncultured bacterium. RNAcentral describes it as "partial 16S ribosomal RNA". It matches the Rfam family "Bacterial small subunit ribosomal RNA", at positions 97 to 1399 of the family's 1533-position model. The record is from RNAcentral.